GGCCUUGUGGUCUAGUGGUAUGAUUCUCGCUUAAGGUGCGAGAGGCCCCGCGUUCGAGUCGUGGCAAGACCC
Molecule: transfer RNA, 72 nt
Rfam family: tRNA
About the family: Transfer RNA (tRNA) molecules are approximately 80 nucleotides in length.